GGUUGUAGCUGGCUCUUAGGAGC
RNAcentral lists this ribosomal RNA (23 nucleotides) under Parasola megasperma. RNAcentral's name for it is "partial 18S ribosomal RNA". Lineage: Eukaryota; Fungi; Basidiomycota; Agaricomycetes; Agaricales; Psathyrellaceae. RNAcentral also lists the same sequence under 5 other names. The record is from RNAcentral.